RNAcentral lists this ribosomal RNA (361 nucleotides) under uncultured bacterium. RNAcentral describes it as "partial 16S ribosomal RNA". It matches the Rfam family "Bacterial small subunit ribosomal RNA", at positions 338 to 716 of the family's 1533-position model. The record is from RNAcentral.
CCUACGGGAGGCAGCAGUAGGGAAUAUUGCGCAAUGGGGGAAACCCGGAAGCAGCAACGCCGCGGGGAGGAUGAAGGUUUUAGGAGUGGAAACGCCUUUUGUUAGAGAAGAGGAGGACGGUAGCUAACGAAUAAGAACCGGAUAACUCAGUGCCAGCAGCCGCGGUAAGACGGAGGGUGCAAGCGUUACUCGGAAUAACUGGGCGUCAAGAGUGCGUAGGCGGGGUCAUAAGUCAGAUUUGAAAUCCUGUAGCUUUACGACAGAACUGCAUUUGAAACUGUUACUCUGGAGUGUGGGAGAUGUCGGUUGAAUUCUUGGUGUAGUGGUCCAUUCCGUAGAGUUCCCGAGGAAUACUCAUUGC